GGAGGGGGCCAGCGUUGUUCGGAAUUAUUGGGCGUAAAGGGCGCGUAGGCGGCUCAGCAAGUCGGGUGUGAAAUCCCUCGGCUUAACCGAGGAACUGCCUCCGAUACUGCCGAGCUUGAGUCCGGGAGAGGAGAGUGGAAUUCCCAGUGUAGCGGUGAAAUGCGUAGAUAUUGGGAGGAACACCGGUGGCGAAGGCGGCUCUCUGGACCGGUACUGACGCUGAGGCGCGAAAGCCAGGGGAGCAAACAGGAUUAGAUACCCUGGUAGUCCUGGCUGUAAACGAUGGGCACUUGGUGUUGCGGGUAUCGACCCCCUGCAGUGCCGAAGCUAACGCAUUAAGUGCCCCGCCUGGGGAGUACGGUCGCAAGGCUG
This 372-nucleotide ribosomal RNA is filed under the name uncultured organism. RNAcentral describes it as "partial 16S ribosomal RNA". It matches the Rfam family "Bacterial small subunit ribosomal RNA", at positions 527 to 896 of the family's 1533-position model. The record is from RNAcentral.